GUCCUUUCGUCACAAAGGGACCAUAAGAUGGCGCUGAAGAGAUGGAGGCCUGCAUAUAUUUAUACAAAUCUGUUAUUGAUAGUUGAAAUCUGCCAGAAGUUCUACAAACACAGAUGGAAGAUAGUGUGUUGAUGCUGGUGUUGUCUUGGAAGGCCAUGGAACAUUUAUGAGGGCACGCUUAGCUGGAGCAAGAGAAUCACUGGGGUAGGCUUAACUGUUGGUUAAGUUAAUAAAGUUAUGUCCCC
Mastomys coucha (southern multimammate mouse) is the source of this 245-nucleotide long non-coding RNA. RefSeq lists it as uncharacterized. The transcript is spliced from 3 exons. The record is from RefSeq and is a predicted model, not a curated record. NCBI's taxonomy places the organism in Eukaryota, Metazoa, Chordata, Mammalia, Rodentia, Muridae.